This 492-nucleotide ribosomal RNA is filed under the name uncultured bacterium. RNAcentral describes it as "partial 16S ribosomal RNA". It matches the Rfam family "Bacterial small subunit ribosomal RNA", at positions 29 to 507 of the family's 1533-position model. The record is from RNAcentral.
AGUGAACGCUGGCGGUAGGCCUAACACAUGCCAGUCGAACGGCAGCACAGUAAGAGCUUGCUCUUACGGGUGGCGAGUGGCGGACGGGUGAGGAAUACAUCGGAAUCUACUUUUUCGUGGGGGAUAACGUAGGGAAACUUACGCUAAUACAGCAUACGACCUACGGGUGAAAGCAGGGGAUCUUCGGACCUUGCGCGAAUGAAUGAGCCGAUGUCGGAUUAGCUAGUUGGCGGGGUAAAGGCCCACCAAGGCGGCGAUCCGUAGCUGGUCUGAGAGGAUGAUCAGCCACACUGGAACUGAGACACGGUCCAGGCUCCUACGGGAGGCAGCAGUGGGGAAUAUUGGACAAUGGGCGCAAGCCUGAUCCAGCCAUACCGCGUGGGUGAAGAAGGCCUUCGGGUUGUAAAGCCCUUUUGUUGGGAAAGAAAAGCAGCAGGUUAAUACCCCGCUGUUCUGACGGUACCCAAAGAAUAAGCACCGGCUAACUUCGUG